This 496-nucleotide ribosomal RNA is filed under the name uncultured bacterium. Its description in RNAcentral is "partial 16S ribosomal RNA". It matches the Rfam family "Bacterial small subunit ribosomal RNA", at positions 29 to 507 of the family's 1533-position model. The record is from RNAcentral.
AUGAACGCUGGCGGCGUGCCUAAUACAUGCAAGUCGAGCGAACAGACGAGGAGCUUGCUCCUCUGACGUUAGCGGCGGACGGGUGAGUAACACGUGGAUAACCUACCUAUAAGACUGGGAUAACUUCGGGAAACCGGAGCUAAUACCGGAUAAUAUAUUGAACCGCAUGGUUCAAUAGUGAAAGACGGUUUUGCUGUCACUUAUAGAUGGAUCCGCGCCGCAUUAGCUAGUUGGUAAGGUAACGGCUUACCAAGGCAACGAUGCGUAGCCGACCUGAGAGGGUGAUCAGCCACACUGGAACUGAGACACGGUCCAGACUCCUACGGGAGGCAGCAGUAGGGAAUCUUCCGCAAUGGGCGAAAGCCUGACGGAGCAACACCGCGUGAGUGAUGAAGGUCUUCGGAUCGUAAAACACUGUUAUUAGGGAAGAACAAAUGUGUAAGUAAAUAUGCACGUCUUGACGGUACCUAAUCAGAAAGCCACGGCUAACUACGUG